RNAcentral lists this ribosomal RNA (980 nucleotides) under Pseudomonas paralactis. Its description in RNAcentral is "bacterial SSU rRNA". It matches the Rfam family "Bacterial small subunit ribosomal RNA", at positions 57 to 1006 of the family's 1533-position model. The record is from RNAcentral. Lineage: Bacteria; Pseudomonadati; Pseudomonadota; Gammaproteobacteria; Pseudomonadales; Pseudomonadaceae.
GCAGUCGAGCGGUAGAGAGAAGCUUGCUUCUCUUGAGAGCGGCGGACGGGUGAGUAAUGCCUAGGAAUCUGCCUGGUAGUGGGGGAUAACGUUCGGAAACGGACGCUAAUACCGCAUACGUCCUACGGGAGAAAGCAGGGGACCUUCGGGCCUUGCGCUAUCAGAUGAGCCUAGGUCGGAUUAGCUAGUUGGUGGGGUAAUGGCUCACCAAGGCGACGAUCCGUAACUGGUCUGAGAGGAUGAUCAGUCACACUGGAACUGAGACACGGUCCAGACUCCUACGGGAGGCAGCAGUGGGGAAUAUUGGACAAUGGGCGAAAGCCUGAUCCAGCCAUGCCGCGUGUGUGAAGAAGGUCUUCGGAUUGUAAAGCACUUUAAGUUGGGAGGAAGGGUUGUAGAUUAAUACUCUGCAAUUUUGACGUUACCGACAGAAUAAGCACCGGCUAACUCUGUGCCAGCAGCCGCGGUAAUACAGAGGGUGCAAGCGUUAAUCGGAAUUACUGGGCGUAAAGCGCGCGUAGGUGGUUUGUUAAGUUGGAUGUGAAAUCCCCGGGCUCAACCUGGGAACUGCAUUCAAAACUGACUGACUAGAGUAUGGUAGAGGGUGGUGGAAUUUCCUGUGUAGCGGUGAAAUGCGUAGAUAUAGGAAGGAACACCAGUGGCGAAGGCGACCACCUGGACUAAUACUGACACUGAGGUGCGAAAGCGUGGGGAGCAAACAGGAUUAGAUACCCUGGUAGUCCACGCCGUAAACGAUGUCAACUAGCCCGUUGGAAGCCUUGAGCUUUUAAUGGGCGCAGCUAACCGCAUUAAGUUGACCCGCCUGGGGGAAGUACGGGCCGCAAGGGUUAAAAACUUCAAAUGAAUUUGACGGGGGGCCCCGCACAAAACCGGAGGAACCAUGGGGUUUUAAUUUCAAAACCAACCGCAAAAAAACCUUUACCAGGGCCCUGGAACUUCCAAUAGAACUUUCCCAGAAA